UUUUAUUUUGGUCUGGUGUCAUGACAUCAUAAGGCUGCACUGUACCGCUCUCCCCUGGUUCGGACUGUAAAAAAGGUUCAACAGAGGUUUGAGGUUUUUGAACGCUCGAGAAUUUAAGGCUGUAUUUUCAGAGGACUUUUAUUUUGUCUGGUGUUAUGACAUCAUAAGGCUGCGCCGCUCUCUGACUUCACAAAGACAUACAGGAACAACAAACAAUUGGUGAAACCUGAGAGAUCCAUGUGACGGUUUUCCAAGAUGGCAUUUAUUAAAGAGGAGACUGAAGACAUAAGAAUUUCAAAACCAUUCAGAGUGAAACAUGAA
Non-coding RNA from Pimephales promelas (fathead minnow), 321 nucleotides. Lineage: Eukaryota; Metazoa; Chordata; Actinopteri; Cypriniformes; Leuciscidae. The record is from RefSeq and is a predicted model, not a curated record.